This 361-nucleotide long non-coding RNA is filed under the name Marmota monax (woodchuck). Lineage: Eukaryota; Metazoa; Chordata; Mammalia; Rodentia; Sciuridae. The record is from RNAcentral.
GACUGAGUAGUAAUCCACUGCAUGAACAUACCAUGAUUUGCUUAUCUAUUACUCUCUUAAUGAACACUUGGAUUGCUUUCUAAAUUUGGUUUUCAUGUACAAAACUGUAUGAAUAUUGCUAUAAAAGGCUUUUUAUGGAUGCAUACUUGGAUAAAUACUUUGAAGUGAAAUUAAUGGAAGAUAAGGCAGAUAUAUGUUUAUAGUCUUAAGAAUUUGCCAGUUUUUAAAAGUGUUUGUACUAUAUUUAUGUAGUACAUUGUCUUGAUUACCUCACCAAGUUGCUGAGGCUUGCUUUGAACUUGAGAUUCUCCUGCCACAGCCUCUUGAGCGACUGAAAUUGCAGGUGUGUGCCACCAUGCCU